AUGAGUUGCCUCUCAUGGAACUGCCGGGGGCUUGGGAACCCCGAGGCGGUUCGAGAGCUUCGCAAUGUUGUGAAGCUAGAAGGACCCACACUCCUCUUCGUCAUGGAAACAAAAAUCAAAGGGAAGAGGGUUGAGGACUUGCAAAGACAUCUAGGCUUCGGCGGGUGCUUUGCGGUUGAUAGUACUGGUCUAAGUGGUGGUAUUGGUUUGUUUUGGUCGCUGAUGUUAUUGUGGACCUCAACAAUUAUAGUGCUAGUCACAUUGAUGUUUCUGUUAAAUUUAAAGAGCAAAACUCCUUUCAAUGGAGGUUUACUGGUUUCUAUGGGGCGUCCCGAGCGGAAGAUAGACACCAUAAUUGGCGUUUCCUACGCACUCUUUAUAACAUACCGCAUGCGGCAUGGAUAUGUUUGGGUGAUUUUAAUGAAACUCUCUUCUCUAAUGAGCACUUUAGUCGGGCUGCUAGGCCAGAGAGACAGAUGA
RNAcentral lists this ribosomal RNA (480 nucleotides) under Triticum aestivum (bread wheat). RNAcentral describes it as "partial small subunit ribosomal RNA". Lineage: Eukaryota; Viridiplantae; Streptophyta; Magnoliopsida; Poales; Poaceae. The record is from RNAcentral.